RNAcentral lists this small RNA (938 nucleotides) under Pongo abelii (Sumatran orangutan). Its description in RNAcentral is "processed transcript". The record is from RNAcentral. Lineage: Eukaryota; Metazoa; Chordata; Mammalia; Primates; Hominidae.
AACAGGCUUUGAAUAGAUAGCCUUUAUGAACCAUGCUUCGGAAUGCAGAGGGAGUCGGUACUUUUAUGAAUAUACAUCGUGCUAUUUGCUGUUUCCCGUAAAGAAAUAUCUCUUAACGUGAUCUCCCACAUUUUCGAAGCAAAAGGUUGUCAUUCCUGUGAAAGUCAGGAUGCAUCAAAGCAAUCUUCACAGCAUUUGUCGCUCCAAGGAAGAGCCUGGCCCAACUAGAGAAUCUGUGCAAACAGCUGUAUGAAACCACAGACACAACCACUCGACUCCAGGCAGAGAAAGCCUUGGUUGAAUUUACCAACAGCCCCGAUUGCCUGAGCAAGUGCCAGCUACUCCUCGAAAGAGGAAGUUCCUCUUACUCCCAGUUACUGGCAGCUACAUGCCUUACCAAGCUUGUAUCACGCACAAACAACCCCCUACCAUUGGAACAGCGAAUAGAUAUUCGGAACUAUGUGCUCAACUACCUUGCCACUCGGCCGAAGUUGGCUACUUUCGUGACACAAGCACUUAUUCAGUUAUAUGCCAGAAUCACAAAACUGGGCUGGUUUGACUGUCAGAAGGAUGACUAUGUCUUCAGAAAUGCAAUCACAGACGUCACAAGGUUUUUACAGGAUAGUGUUGAAUACUGCAUCAUUGGUGUCACAAUUUUAUCUCAGCUAACCAAUGAAAUUAAUCAAGCAGACACCACCCAUCCUUUAACCAAGCACAGAAAAAUAGCCUCUUCUUUUCGCGAUUCAUCAUUAUUUGAUAUCUUCACACUUUCCUGCAAUUUACUAAAACAGGCUUCAGGAAAGAAUCUAAACUUGAAUGAUGAAAGUCAGCAUGGCUUGCUCAUGCAACUGCUCAAGCUCACCCAUAACUGCCUCAACUUUGACUUCAUUGGCACUUCCACUGAUGAGUCCUCAGAUGACCUGUGUACAGUGCAGAUU